RNAcentral lists this long non-coding RNA (1527 nucleotides) under Anas platyrhynchos platyrhynchos (common mallard). RNAcentral's name for it is "lncRNA (ENSAPLG00000018894.1)". The record is from RNAcentral. Lineage: Eukaryota; Metazoa; Chordata; Aves; Anseriformes; Anatidae.
CCUUGGUUCUGCCUCUCUAGUCUUAGUACUUGUAGGCAUAUGGGGCUUAAAAUAGUUUAAUUGCAUGGUUUUAUUACGAGUGAUCUAUUCUCCGUGGAGCUGGGCAUGUUCCCUCUCCUGGAGUUGAUGAACUUAUGGGUGCUAGGCUAAAGAAAAAGGAAGCUGCAUGCAUGUUUACAGAAUUUUGGCUACAUUUUUUAUCUAGCUGUGAAUUCAGUUAUUUAAUGAAAUUUUCCAUUUUAAUACAUAACAUUUCAAUUUACCAUUUCAGAAGGAGAACUCAGCACAAGACGCUUGUAAAACUGUUUGAGGAAGUAUUUUGGGCUCACUUCUUGUCAGAUGGACAAGACCUGUGCUAAGCCACCUCAUCACCCACACAGUACACUGCCUGUACCAAGCAAGACCCCUACUUGAUAUGGCCAUCACAGGGGAUGAGAAGUUGAACUUGGAAGAGUUGUGUGAUUCUUCAUGCCCUAGGCAACUAGGGAGAGCCAAAUGCAGGAGGAGAUAAGUGGUAUUUGCCUCACUGCUGCUACCUUCUCUUUUAUUUUCUUGUAGUCAGGCAGUUUACGCUCAUAUUAACAAAACUUAAUCGUAAUUACUGAAUAGCCCUUUGUGUUCAUAGUGUUUUAAACCAGGCUCAGAAGUCAGUCUUUCUUGAUUCUCGAUGUUUUGGCUACUUGGCAGUUAACAAGGUUAAGAGGAAUGAAUUUGGACCAUCUGUGGCUGCAUUAUAUCAUGAUUUGGCAAUGGGCUCCAGAUGACUGAUAAUGAACCACAAAAACAGCUGGAACCAUUCCAUCCUCUCCUCUGCAGCAAAAUUCCACUUUGCACAUCGGUCUGAGUACAGUGGCUGGCGGGCUUCUACUGAAGAUGCCUCCAUAGGUAACAGGACUGAAAAAGGAACUCAAGACAGAUGCACAAGUCUUCCUUUUGAAUGUGUCAUUGGAUCUGAGUGUGAGUGCCUGCAAAGGAAGGAGAGCCUCAAGAGAUGUAAAAGAGUAAAUCCCAAAUUUCCUGAACUGAGAAACUAUCAGUGCCAAAUUACUUCACGUUACAGCUCUGAAAGUCAGAUAAAGACUUAUCUUCUUUGCAUGGGUGCAAAGGUGAACUGGGAUUUUAUUGCAUUUCCCUCAAGUCACAGAGGGAAACAGUCAGAUGUGCAAUAAUUCUUGUCUUGUGGUUCUGUACUGUUGUGCAAGACUAUGCUUAACACGACAUAAGAAAGAGUCACUGCAGUUAAGGUUGUUCGGCUUAGCAAGCUCUUAAAUAUCAACUCUUGAGGAAACAGGGAGAAGGCAGCUGCAGAGCCCUUGUCUUCUCUGUUGUGGAGACAAAAGAUUGAGUUUCAUUAACAGUUACACCUAUGGUGGUUCAAAAAUAAUUACCAUGUAAAAUGCAUUUGUGUUAGAAGCAACUAUAUAAUAAUCCUGAAACAAGCCUUACUAACCAAACUGAAAGUUUUGCCAGAGUAAAUAUUAAGUAAAUAUAAAUAAAAAGUAAAUAUUUCAGUCCUGUGACCCUAUA